RNAcentral lists this ribosomal RNA (250 nucleotides) under uncultured bacterium. RNAcentral describes it as "partial 16S ribosomal RNA". It matches the Rfam family "Bacterial small subunit ribosomal RNA", at positions 524 to 773 of the family's 1533-position model. The record is from RNAcentral.
UACGUAGGGGGCUAGCGUUGUCCGGAAUCAUUGGGCGUAAAGCGCGUGUAGGCGGCUCGGUAAGUCCGCUGUGAAAGUCGAGGGCUCAACCCUCGAAAGCCGGUGGAUACUGCCGGGCUCGAGGCAGGUAGGGGAGAGUGGAAUUCCCGGUGUAGCGGUGAAAUGCGCAGAUAUCGGGAGGAACACCGGUGGCGAAGGCGGCUCCCUGGGCCUGUCCUGACGCUCAGGCGCGAAAGCUGGGGGAGCGAAC